Chelonia mydas (Green sea turtle) is the source of this 618-nucleotide long non-coding RNA. RefSeq lists it as uncharacterized. The record is from RefSeq and is a predicted model, not a curated record. NCBI's taxonomy places the organism in Eukaryota, Metazoa, Chordata, Testudines, Cheloniidae. The transcript is spliced from 4 exons.
GCUAGCACACUGGGAGUGAAGACUUGCUUGCAUGUCUGUGCAGCCUUUGACUAAAUAAACAAGACCCCUGAAGGGUAUCAUUCACUAUAUGCAAGACUCAUUGAACUUAUUGAUAGUCCACAAAGGGAAAUUGACUCACUGAUCUCUCUGCACAGGGCAACCAGGGAGCAUGUGGGGUGAUGCCAGCUGUAAUGUUUUCUAAUCUGGUCUGAGUCUCCAUAUACUACACCAGCAUUGACAUAAGAGGCUGCCCCGGGGGAGAGCACCACCCUGUAACACUUGUGUCUGUGGAAGACGUUGGAUUUACAGCAAUGGACUGUGAUCUAUUUGUGUGGCCAAGAACGCUAGACUGGGAAUCUGGAGAUCAGUCAACAGGAGCAUGAGAACAGACUUCAAGGGAAAAGGAGUGGACCUAGAACUAUAUAUACAUCCUCCUAGGCAUCCAUUUGGCUGGCAAUCUGGAAGAUGUCAGCAUUCAAAGGAUUAGAGCAUCAUUUGAGACUUCUAAUUUAAAAUGUUACCAUGAACUGCAAUGGCUUCACCGGUCAUGGCAUGAAAUAAACUAGAAUGAUCUCAUCCCCUUUAAUGACAGCUCUAUGAAAUUUAAGAUUAAAAGUG